Molecule: unclassified non-coding RNA, 125 nt
Filed under: uncultured fungus
Lineage: Eukaryota; Fungi
Description: sequence contains ITS1
Source: RNAcentral
UCUAUCUCUUAAGGGGAGCGACCGCUCUCUGUACCCUGCGAACAUGUUUUCAACUUGGCGGGAUUGCCUCGGCGCCCGCCGCUUUAUGUUUACUUUAUCUUUUUUCUUUCUUAUUUUAACCUAUA